CACGUAGGCGGAUUGUUUAGUCAGGGGUGAAAUCCCGAGGCUCAACCUCGGAACUGCCUUUGAUACUGGCAAUCUCGAGUCCGGAAGAGGUGAGUGGAAUUCCUAGUGUAGAGGUGAAAUUCGUAGAUAUUAGGAAGAACACCAGUGGCGAAGGCGGCUCACUGGCCCGGUACUGACGCUGAGGCACGAAAGCGUGGGGAGCAAACA
Molecule: ribosomal RNA, 207 nt
Filed under: uncultured bacterium
Lineage: Bacteria
Description: partial 16S ribosomal RNA
Rfam family: Bacterial small subunit ribosomal RNA
Source: RNAcentral